ACACGGAAACGUGAACGACCCGUGAGUCGGGAGGAGGCACAGAUGCUGCAUGGCUGUCGUCAGCUCGUGCCGUGAGGUGUUGGGUUAAGUCCCGCAACGAGCGCAACCCUCGUCGCCAGUUACCUUUUCUGGCGAGACCGCCGGGAUCAACCCGGAGGAAGGUGGGGAUGACGUCAAGUCAGCACGGCUCUUACGUCUGGGGCUACACACACGCUACAAUGGCCGGUACAAUGGGCAGCGAAGGGGCGACUUGGAGCGAAUCCCAUCAAAGCCGGUCUCAGUUAGGAUCGGAGGCUGCAACUCGCCUCCGUGAAUGCGGAGUUGCUAGUAACCGCAGGUCAGCACACUGCGGUGAAUACGUUCCCGGGCCUUGUACACACCGCCCGUCACGUCAUGAAAGCUGGGGGCGCCUGAAGCCGGUGGGCUAACCUUCGGGAGGCAGCCGUCGAGGGCGAAAUCAGCGAUUGGGCACGAAGUCGUAACAAGGUAACCGUA
Molecule: ribosomal RNA, 495 nt
Filed under: uncultured Chloroflexota bacterium
Lineage: Bacteria; Bacillati; Chloroflexota
Description: bacterial SSU rRNA
Rfam family: Bacterial small subunit ribosomal RNA
Source: RNAcentral